RNAcentral lists this ribosomal RNA (484 nucleotides) under uncultured bacterium. RNAcentral describes it as "partial 16S ribosomal RNA". It matches the Rfam family "Bacterial small subunit ribosomal RNA", at positions 30 to 507 of the family's 1533-position model. The record is from RNAcentral.
AUUGAACGCUGGCGGCAGGCCUAACACAUGCAAGUCGAGCGGAUGAAGGGAGCUUGCUCCUGGAUUCAGCGGCGGACGGGUGAGUAAUGCCUAGGAAUCUGCCUGGUAGUGGGGGAUAACGUCCGGAAACGGGCGCUAAUACCGCAUACGUCCUGAGGGAGAAAGUGGGGGAUCUUCGGACCUCACGCUAUCAGAUGAGCCUAGGUCGGAUUAGCUAGUUGGUGGGGUAAAGGCCUACCAAGGCGACGAUCCGUAACUGGUCUGAGAGGAUGAUCAGUCACACUGGAACUGAGACACGGUCCAGACUACUACGGGAGGCAGCAGUGGGGAAUAUUGGACAAUGGGCGAAAGCCUGAUCCAGCCAUGCCGCGUGUGUGAAGAAGGUCUUCGGAUUGUAAAGCACUUUAAGUUGGGAGGAAGGGCAGUAAGUUAAUACCUUGCUGUUUUGACGUUAUCAACAGAAUAAGCACCGGCUAACUUCGUG